AAUUUCUAUUUAAUUUCUGUAAUUGUUUUGAUUUUUUACUAAUCUUUUGUCAGUUGUAUAUUUUCAGGGGUUCAGAUGAGGGACGACGACAGAAGAGGACUUUGGCCGGCCAAAAGAAGAAGAGGACUACAUUGCCUAGCUAUGAAUAGAAACCAACAUUGGCCAGAGUGGAGGAUGCCUGGAUCCCAAUGUUAGGAACAACUUCCUUGUUUGUCAGGAGGAGGGUGGGGAGCAGGGCGGGGAAUUAACUGCUGACAAGCAGAGAAGAAAGCAGUAGGCGGUUAGGAGGAUCUGCAUGCAGCCCCUGGUGUGGACGAAUCUUGCCUCCCAAUCAACUGCAGUCAUCGUUGGAAGAAGCGGAUGCAGAAGAGAAGGACCCAUCCCAAGGAGCAGAAGAGGACCCAGUUCAUCAGCCAGAGAGCCUGAUAGAGAAGCUUUUUGAUUUAUCCCCCUCUCUCUCUCUCUCUUUCUGUCCCCUCCUUACUCUAACAUGACUAACCAUCUCCCUUCCCCUCCUCUACUCUCAACUCUCUUCUGCCCUUUCCCAAAGUAACAGUCCCCUUUU
Molecule: long non-coding RNA, 565 nt
Organism: Saccostrea echinata
Lineage: Eukaryota; Metazoa; Mollusca; Bivalvia; Ostreida; Ostreidae
Exons: 4
Source: RefSeq, a predicted model, not a curated record